CCCCGGAAGUGACGUCCUGCCCGGGGGAGCGAAAGGUGCCCGGCAAGCAGUGGGAGAACUGGGAAACACGGAUCUUUUUUUUUUUCCCUUGCCAGGGUUUAAAUCCUGAUCCCAAAGAAGGAGACGAUGCGUUCGCUCCUGGAAAACGUACCCUAGUCCCUCCUGGAGUCACUAGAGAGCCUGGCCCUGUGCAAGAGCCAGGUGCUAAAGGGACUUCUUCGCACAACGGAACCUCGGCAGCGGAGGCUGGUGAACGGGGCGACCCUCCGGCUCCCGAGCACCCUGCGCGGGAACCACCGGGCAGCCCGCGGAAGCACGGGAGCGACGGACGGCGGCGAAGGAAUGAAGUUUCAAAUGUGGAAAUUUGUUACAAAACCAAGGCAUCCUCCUGUAUGCAUCUCUUGUCAUGAUCAUAUGUGGUGCCAGCAUGUACUAUUAGCGGGUCCUCCAAAAUGAACAAGACAGGAAGCAGAAAAGCAAGGAUACAGUAUGCAGAAGACAGUCCUAUGGAUCCCAAAAGCAAAACAUUGCUCUCAGAACUGAGAGAAACAGCACAGCUCCAACAGGCACCUCUAGGAAAUAUCCACCUGGCCAUCAUGAAGACAAAAGGUUUAGAGCAGAAAAACAGCUUCUGGCAAAUUAUCUCAAAGGAGGACUGCUGAAAUUAAGGUGGAAAGUAGUCAUGGAAUGAGAGGAUUUAAAGAGCAAAGACAUUAGAAAGAUGCUGUUUACAAAGAAGAAACAUGGGCUGACAAACAGAAGGCAGCAAAAGGCCCCCAAAUUGUGGAACAGAUACCACAAGUGGAAUGUCAGCUACUUCAAUGGAUGUAAGAAGUUUUCCUAAAGUGACAGUAUCUUCUACUGCAUGUGGCACAGGACUCAUCAUAGGGUGGGUUAAUGCAGCUGCCACUACUCGUCGAAAGUAUUUGAACAAGCAAAGUUUUGGAAAUCUCGAUCAAUGGUUUUAGACAUGUCUCUCAUCAAUUUUAGAUCUUAAUCUACUGCAUAUCUCAGUCCUAAUUUCUGAAAAAGUUUAGCAUGGAAGAGCAUUUGCCUAAAUUCCAUAUGCAUUUCUACAACUGAACUGAAUCAAUUUCUACAGGAAAUUAUCCAAACUGUAUAUAGAACUAUUAAUGUUAUACAGAAACAAAAUGUAUGCUUAUACAGUCACUGCAAUUCUGAUUUGUACAUAAAACCGUAUGCUUAAUUUAGACUAUUAAUAUAAAGGUGUAAGUUGAUUUUGUUUAACUUGCCUUUCUUUUUAUAUUACUUUCAGUAACUCCAAAAGAAAAGGAUUAAAAUUUACUCCCCCCAGGCCCUCUUGUUCCUCAAGUCUUAGAACAGAUCACUCUCUAUUCAGGAGCUAAAUUACCAACAUAGCCCCAUGAUUUCUUGUUUGACUACCUUAUAAGAAUCUUUACAUUUAAACUAAAUUGUCAGACAAACAAUUAGGAAUCACAGUUAUGACUGUUUAAUGCAGACUUGAGUUACAAUUACUUUGGCCCCAACCUAAGUAGUAUAAUCAUAAUGAUGAUGUGGCAAAACAAGAGAUUCUUCUAGUUAGUAUUUGUGAAAAUGGUUUUGUAAAUAAACUUAAAAGAGAGAAAAGAAGUGAAUGGAUAGUGGAAGAACUGUUAGGAAUUUCCUCAUAUUACAAAUUCCUUUGAUCUGAAGAAAACAGGAAGCUGUAGUAGCAGGGACAUCCUCUCUUUGUUAUGUUCUGCUCAGAUGCACAUGCUCAAAUACACACAUCCUAUUAAUACAGAAGAAGAGUCCCUUCAGCAGUCCCUGGAAGAGAAACAAGAACAAAAUCCUUCCCUGUAGACUUUCAAGCCUGCAGAAAGGGAAGACGUGCCACUUUUAAGCAAAUCUUCAGCACUUUCUCCCUAUCUAUUCUGUACUAAAAUAAUAAACAAUGGCAUUGCUGGGUUGUAUUUCA
Grus americana (Whooping crane) is the source of this 1939-nucleotide long non-coding RNA. RefSeq lists it as uncharacterized. Lineage: Eukaryota; Metazoa; Chordata; Aves; Gruiformes; Gruidae. The transcript has 6 exons. The record is from RefSeq and is a predicted model, not a curated record.